GACGAACGCUGGCGGCGUGCUUAACACAUGCAAGUCGAACGGAAAGGCCCUGCUUUUGUGGGGUGCUCGAGUGGCGAACGGGUGAGUAACACGUGAGUAACCUGCCCUUGACUUUGGGAUAACUUCAGGAAACUGGGGCUAAUACCGGAUAGGAGCUCCUGCUGCAUGGUGGGGGUUGGAAAGUUUCGGCGGUUGGGGAUGGACUCGCGGCUUAUCAGCUUGUUGGUGGGGUAGUGGCUUACCAAGGCUUUGACGGGUAGCCGGCCUGAGAGGGUGACCGGCCACAUGGGGACUGAGAUACGGCCCAGACGGGUACGGGAGGCAGCAGUGGGGAAUAUGGCACAAUGGGCGGAAGCCUGAUGCAGCGACGCCGCGUGCGGGAUGACGGCCUUCGGGUUGUAAACCGCUUUCGCCUGUGACGAAGCGUGAGUGACGGUAAUGGGUAAAGAAGCACCGGCUAACUACGUG
RNAcentral lists this ribosomal RNA (468 nucleotides) under uncultured bacterium. Its description in RNAcentral is "partial 16S ribosomal RNA". It matches the Rfam family "Bacterial small subunit ribosomal RNA", at positions 28 to 507 of the family's 1533-position model. The record is from RNAcentral.